Magnolia sinica is the source of this 2327-nucleotide RNA transcript. It is a transcript of the gene named 7-dehydrocholesterol reductase, with no coding region annotated. The transcript has 14 exons. The record is from RefSeq and is a predicted model, not a curated record. NCBI's taxonomy places the organism in Eukaryota, Viridiplantae, Streptophyta, Magnoliopsida, Magnoliales, Magnoliaceae.
ACCUCGGAAGAACGAACAAUCGCCAUUUCUUUUCUUGACCAGUGAGGGAAGAGAGACAGAGCAGCGAAAAUGGGAGAAGCGAAGACCGUACACUCCCCCCUCCUGACCUACGUCUCCAUGCUCUCUCUGCUCACUCUCUGCCCGCCCUUCGUCAUUCUUCUAUGGUAUACAAUGGUUCAUGCUGAUGGUUCUGUUGCUCUAACCUGGGAGUAUCUCAAACAAACUGGGCUAGAGGGGUUCAAAAGUAUCUGGCCAAAACCGUCUGCCACUGCAUGGAAAAUCAUUGCUUAUUUUGCAGUUUUUGAAGCUAUACUUCAGUUGGUGCUUCCUGGUGAAAGGGUUGAAGGCCCGAUUUCUCCUACAGGGAACCGACCUAUCUACAAGGCAAAUGGAUUGGCAGCAUAUGCAGUAACUUUGAUAACUUAUCUCAGCCUUUGGUGGUUUGGGAUAUUCAACCCUGCAAUUGUAUAUGAUCAUUUGGGAGAAAUUUUCUCUGCACUGAUCAUGGGAAGCUUUGUCUUUUGCAUUUUCUUAUACAUAAAAGGUCACUUGUUACCAUCUUCUUCUGAUUCAGGAUCUUCAGGGAACAUACUAAUUGAUUUCUAUUGGGGAAUGGAGCUGUAUCCUCGGAUUGGUAAAAGCUUUGAUAUUAAGGUUUUUACGAACUGUAGAUUUGGUAUGAUGUCCUGGGCAGUUCUUGCUGUGACCUACUGCAUCAAGCAGUAUGAGAUGAAUGGUCAUGUUGCUGAUUCUAUGCUUGUGAAUACCGCACUGAUGCUGGUGUAUGUAACCAAGUUCUUCUUGUGGGAAGCUGGAUAUUGGAACACUAUGGAUAUUGCACAUGACAGAGCUGGAUUCUAUAUUUGCUGGGGAUGCCUGGUAUGGGUCCCAUCAAUCUAUACUUCUCCCGGAAUGUACCUUGUCAACCAUCCUGUGAAUCUGGGUGCUCAGCUUGCGCUUUUAAUUCUUGUUGCGGGCAUUGUAUGUAUAUAUGUCAACUAUGAUUGUGACAGGCAAAGGCAAGAAUUCAGGAAAACAAAUGGAAAGUGCUCCAUUUGGGGAAAAGCUCCAUCAAAGAUAACAGCCUCCUAUACUACUACUAAUGGGGAAACAAAGUCAAGCAUUCUUUUGACCUCCGGCUGGUGGGGUCUGUCUCGUCACUUUCAUUAUGUGCCCGAAAUAUUGGCUGCCUUUUGUUGGACCGUACCAGCUCUUUUCAACCAUUUCCUGCCUUAUUUCUACGUUAUCUUUCUGACAAUCCUUCUUUUCGACCGAGCCAAAAGAGAUGAUGACCGGUGUUUGUCCAAGUACCAGAAAUACUGGAAAUCGUACUGCCAGAAGGUGCCGUACAGGAUUAUACCUGGGAUCUACUGAGACUUGGAUUUUUCUGCGUAUUAUUAGCAAAGUUAGAAUGCAUCUUCAUUUUGGGCCUGAUUUUGGAACCAGAGGUGCUGCUCUCACGUCAGAAGGUUGUUCCUGUUCCUACUAGGGAAUCUCAACUGCUGGUGAAUGACUACUGCCGUGAUAUGACCAUCAAGACCGUUCACUAGGCUUGGAGAUGCAAAGGGGAGCAUCCAACUCUGGCAAGUUGUUUCACAUGGUGGGACUUCUUAUCACCCGGAAACCUUUACUGGAACAUGAAUUCCUUCAUUUCUGAGCGUUCCUUUUCCAACUGGUCAUGCUGCCUCAUUUUUCCCACCGGCAUUCCACUUCUGAAGGCGCCAGUACCCUGCAAAAAUAGGCCCUACGACGAACAUCACCUGUAGUGAGAUUCACUGGUUUGGUGGGCCGCACCUGUUUGUUUGUCCAUUGAUUACAAUGGUGCGGUCCACGUGAUGAGCAGACCAGACUUAUGCCUUUUCCAGGUGAUCUUCAUGGUGAGGCCUACUGUUUGUACGGUGCAGAUGUUCUGCACAAGCGGGGCAUGCUAGUGCAAAAGAUGGUGCAGCAUGACAAGUUAUUGAUGUGGCCCUUGCGGCCGUCAGUAACCUAAAUUAAAUUGACCCGCACCCAAAUUCAACAGGCGAGUUUGGACGGUUAAGAUUUCGGGCUCUGUAAUGGAUUCCUGCAAUUUGUAUGGUCUGGGUUGAAGGAUAUGCGCCCUGUGUACACCCAUGAAGAGCCACGAUCAUCCAAAAAGGAUGGUAUUAAUGUGCAACAGUAGCCUAUCCCAUUUAGAAAAUGAUUGCGGUCGUAUUCACUGGUGGAGAUGAUAGAACCAAUCUAUUCACUGGGUGGGACCCGAAAACAAGUUGGCUUGUAGGUGGAGUAAAUGGUUUCGGACACAACAGUUGACCUGAUGAAUAUCAAAUCAAUAUCUACAGUGA